AGGGAUCAUUACCGAGUUUACAACUCCCAAACCCCUGUGAACAUACCUUACUGUUGCCUCGGCGGAUCAGCCCGCUCCCGGUAAAACGGGACGGCCCGCCAGAGGACCCCUAAACUCUGUUUCUAUAUGUAACUUCUGAGUAAAACCAUAAAUAAAUCAAAACUUUCAACAACGGAUCUCUUGGUUCUGGCAUCGAUGAAGAACGCAGCAAAAUGCGAUAAGUAAUGUGAAUUGCAGAAUUCAGUGAAUCAUCGAAUCUUUGAACGCACAUUGCGCCCGCCAGUAUUCUGGCGGGCAUGCCUGUUCGAGCGUCAUUUCAACCCUCAAGCCCUCGGGUUUGGUGUUGGGGAUCGGCGAGCCUUUCUGGCAAGCCGGCCCCGAAAUCUAGUGGCGGUCUCGCUGCAGCCUCCAUUGCGUAGUAGUAAAACCCUCGCAACUGGAACGCGGCGCGGCCAAGCCGUUAAACCCCCAACUUCUGAAUGUUGACCUCGGAUCAGGUAGGAAUACCCGCUGAACUUAA
Molecule: small RNA, 520 nt
Filed under: uncultured fungus
Lineage: Eukaryota; Fungi
Description: eukaryotic LSU rRNA
Rfam family: 5.8S ribosomal RNA (bases 161-314)
Source: RNAcentral